CAGUAGCCGCGGUAAUACGUAGGUGGCAAGCGUUGUCCGGAAUUAUUGGGCGUAAAGGGCUCGCAGGCGGUUUCUUAAGUCUGAUGUGAAAGCCCCCGGCUCAACCGGGGAGGGUCAUUGGAAACUGGGAAACUUGAGUACAGAAGAGGAGAGUGGAAUUCCACGUGUAGCGGUGAAAUGCGUAGAGAUGUGGAGGAACACCAGUGGCGAAGGCGACUCUCUGGUCUGUAACUAACGCUGAGGAGCGAAAGCGGGGGGAGCGAACAGGAUUAGAUACCCCUGUAGUCCCUGUCUCUUAUAC
RNAcentral lists this ribosomal RNA (301 nucleotides) under uncultured bacterium. Its description in RNAcentral is "partial 16S ribosomal RNA". It matches the Rfam family "Bacterial small subunit ribosomal RNA", at positions 509 to 807 of the family's 1533-position model. The record is from RNAcentral.